CAGUCGCCACGGUAAUACGUAGGUGGCAAGCGUUGUCCGGAAUUAUUGGGCGUAGAGGGCUUGCAGGCGGUUUCUUAAGUCUGAUGUGAAAGCCCCCGGCUCAACCGGGGAGGGUCAUUGGAAACUGGGAAACUUGAGUGCAGAAGAGGAGAGUGGAAUUCCACGUGUAGCGGUGAAAUGCGUAGAGAUGUGGAGGAACACCAGUGGCGAAGGCGACUCUCUGGUCUGUAACUGACGCUGAGGAGCGAAAGCGUGGGGAGCGAACAGGAUUAGAUACCCCAGUAGUCCCUGUCUCUUAUAC
RNAcentral lists this ribosomal RNA (301 nucleotides) under uncultured bacterium. Its description in RNAcentral is "partial 16S ribosomal RNA". It matches the Rfam family "Bacterial small subunit ribosomal RNA", at positions 509 to 807 of the family's 1533-position model. The record is from RNAcentral.